RNAcentral lists this ribosomal RNA (200 nucleotides) under uncultured bacterium. RNAcentral describes it as "partial 16S ribosomal RNA". It matches the Rfam family "Bacterial small subunit ribosomal RNA", at positions 328 to 539 of the family's 1533-position model. The record is from RNAcentral.
ACGCUCGACACCUACGGGAGGCAGCAGUGGGGGAUAUUGCGCAAUGGGGGAAACCCUGACGCAGCAACGCCGCGUGAAGGACGAAGGUUUUCGGAUUNUAAACUUCUUUUGUCAGGGACGAAGAAAUGACGGUACCUGACGAAUAAGCUCCGGCUAACUACGUGCAAGCAGCCGCGGUAAUCUGAGCGGGCUGGCAAGGC